Salvia hispanica is the source of this 3214-nucleotide non-coding RNA. Lineage: Eukaryota; Viridiplantae; Streptophyta; Magnoliopsida; Lamiales; Lamiaceae. The record is from RefSeq and is a predicted model, not a curated record.
CAACAACACCACUAAACCCUAUUCAUUUAUUUUGGCAAAUUAUUGGCGCAGACUUGAUAUGGCUGAUGAAGCUCUGGAUUUGCUACUGCAAACCUUACUCCAAAUCUAUAAACGCGAUGAUGACGAUGAACUGACCAUCCGUCGUGUAAAACAUCUAAUUUUAUGCAUCCGCGACAAAGCUGCUGUUUUGCAGUCUCUCCAACAUUUCCCAGAAAAUGAAAGAAUGAGGGAGGUAGCAAGUACAACACAAGAGAUCAUUCAAUAUCUUUUCUCCCCACAAUCUGUAUGAUUGUAGAUCCGUAGACCCAACUGUCAGACUUUCCAAUCAGUUGACGGAAUUGGAAGAGGAGCUCGACUCAACUGUCGAAGAUGUGGUUGACUACAUACGGCAACACAGUGAUUCCAGUUCUUCAUCAGUAUCUGCACUCGAGAGUGAAGUUGUGGAUCCAGUGGUUGCAACGGAGCUGAUUGUCGUAAAUUUAAAACGGUUGAGGAGAUUAGCCGAGAAAAUAGAGUCAAGUGAGAGAGAAUUAGCAGAUGAAGAUCCGAGUGAUACACCUCCACUCAUGAACAAAGAUGUUGCGGUUGAUUUUGCUGACGAUCUGAGUAACUCUACUGCUGCUACAUCUGCAUCUACAACCAAAUAUUUUGUGGCUGACUUUGCUAAAGAUCCGAGCAAAGAUGAUGUGGUUGUAGUUGGUUUUGAUGAAGAUAUACCACACAUGAUGGACCGACUAACUGACUGUUCAUCCUAUUCCUACCUAGAAAUCCUCCCUAUUGUCGGAAUGGGAGGCAUUGGUAAGUCCACACUUGCUAAAUCUAUUUAUCAUAAUCCAUUGAUCAUGGAGCAUUUUGAUAUUCGAGCUUGGGUCACAAUAUCACAAGGUUAUAGUGUAGAAAGUAUUCUCUCUCAAUUACUAGCUUCGCUCAAACGAAAAGUAGAUCGAGUUGGAAGGGAUUCAAUGAAAGUAAUCGAAGCAGAGAAGAUUGCAAUUUACAAAAUCUUAUCAGGGAGGAGGUAUCUCAUAGUAAUCGAGCCUAUUUCCUCACGAUAAUAAUGGGAGCCGGGUCAUAUUAACUAAAAGGCUAAUGGAUGUGGCGACUUAUGUUGCCACUCCAUGGAACAUUCAUAUGAUGUGUUUCUUGGAUGACGAACAAAGUUGGCGUCUGUUCAAUCACAAGGUCUUCGGAGAUCAAGAUUGUCCUCAUGAGCUACGUAGUGUUGGGGAAAAAAUUAGUAAAAGGAUGUGGAGGACUGCCCCUCUCAAUUGUUAAUGUGGCAGAACUUUUAUCCACGAUUCCUAGAACUCCAGACUCGUGGAAACAAAUUGAGGGAAAUGAUGGGCAGUUGGGAUCAAUAUUAUCUUUGAGUUACAACCACUUGCCUCCACAUUUGAGGGAGUGUUUCUUGUAUAUGGCAGCCUUCCCUGAAAAUUAUGAGAUCCGUGUCUCUGAACUCAUCAGACUUUGGGUAGCUGAGGGCUUUUUGAAACGUCAAAAUGAAUCUAAAAGCAUAGAAAUGACGGCAGAGGAGUGCCUGGAGGAUCUGAUCAAGCAAAGUCUAGUUUUGGUCACUAGCCGGAAAAAUGAUGGCAGAACCAAAACUUGCAGGCUGCAUAGUAUGGUACGGGACUUUUGUGUGAGACAAGCCGGGGAAGAGAAGUUCCUUCUUCCUGUUAUGGACUACUUCCCUACUCCUAUCUUAAGAAAACAUUUUCUUCCACAAGUCCUCCAAAAUCAUCCACGCACAAGUGUUAGUUGGCAUGAUCUACGUCCUUAGAGAAUCUACGCAUAGCUCAUGUACCACUUCUAUCAUAUGCAUCCCUCAAAGAGGGUAUAGACCCAAAUGCUCUGUACAAAACUUUACGUCACUUAGGGUCCUUCAUGUUUUACGUAGAGAUGAUCGUUCGUAUUGGGAACUAGGUCAGGUUUUUGAAUUGAUUCAUCUCACUUACCUUGCUUCCAACAUUCCCGAUAGUAUUGUCCCUCCAGCUAUAGCAAAGCUUCGAAAUCUGCAAACUUUAAUAAUUUAUACAUAUGGGGUUUAUUUGCCAGUGGAGAUUUGGAAGCUAAGGCAAUUAAGACAUCUUAUCGCCUUCUCAUUCCGUCCUUUACUCCUUCUUGAAAGAGUAAAUCCUCUAAAAAGCUUACAAACGCUUUCUGUGGCAACAGAUUUUGUAUGUAGUGGAAGGAUGGUGCAAAUGAUCCCAAAUAUAAAUAAGUUGGGAAUAUGCUACUCUGAAGAGAAGUUUAAUGCUGGCUAUCAUGUUGACUAUCUUAUAAAUUUGGUUCGACUUGAGAAGCUGAAAUUGGAGAAGCAUAGUUCAGUUUUGCCUCGUCCGAAUUUUGUUUUUCUUCGGUCGCUGAAAAAGUUAGAACUGAGUGGCAGGUGGAUUUCCUGGAGUCAUAUGACGACUGUUGGUUCGUUUCCUAAUCUUCAAGUGCUGAAACUAAAGAAAUAUCCUUGCUACGGUUAACACUGGGAAACCAUUGACGAGGAAUUUGUUAAUUUGAUACAUCUGCUUAUUGAUGAAUCAAAUCUCAAGUGUUGGACAACUGAUAGUGACCACUUUCCAAUGCUCCAGUGCCUAACGCUUCAUCGUUGUCCGUACUUGGAUGAGAUUCCAUUUGAUAUUGGAGAGAUUCCAACACUUGAAUUGAUUGAGAUCGACAAUCAUAACCAAUCCCUUUUGUACUCGGCAAAAAAAUACAAGAGGAACAAUGGGGACAUUGGGGAAAAGAAGGCCUAAAAGUUGUUGUGAAGCGAUCUUGAUUGUGUGUGCUUGACAUCAGAUGCAGAGCUUUGAUGAGGUAGCUUAUCAGAUAUUACACUGAUGAAAGAGGCAGAUAAUUAGUUUGUUUGUUUGUUUGUUUACCUAUUCUUUCUUGUCUAACAUUAAAUUUCAAGUAGGCUUUGCUUUCUAUGUUUCUUGAUUUUUCACCCUUAUCUUUGGCUACGGGAUAGUAUGGAAUUGCUACUUUGAAGGCUUCAAAGGACGCUGAUGUCCGGUUCGGCCGGUUUUCAAGAGCAUGGCAAGCCCAGUUGGGUUUGAGCCUACCUGGUUUGUCUGUUUAUCAGUUUGGGAAGAAGAAUAACUAAUUAUCUUCUUUUUGUUUGUUUGAAUACUCUAUUGGAUUAUAACAUGCAUUGUUGUGUUUUGUAGGAUCUUCUUCCCCUUAAUAAUAAACUUUUGAUAAACUACUACCAAUUUUA